This 253-nucleotide ribosomal RNA is filed under the name uncultured bacterium. Its description in RNAcentral is "partial 16S ribosomal RNA". It matches the Rfam family "Bacterial small subunit ribosomal RNA", at positions 524 to 776 of the family's 1533-position model. The record is from RNAcentral.
UACGAAGGGUGCAAGCGUUACUCGGAAUUACUGGGCGUAAAGCGUGCGUAGGUGGUUUGUUAAGUCUGUUGUGAAAGCCCCGGGCUCAACCUGGGAAUGGCAAUGGAUACUGGCAGGCUAGAGUGCGGUAGAGGGUAGUGGAAUUCCCGGUGUAGCGGUGAAAUGCGUAGAUAUCUGGAGGAACACCGGUGGCGAAGGCGGCAUCCUGGACCGGCAUUGACGCUGAGGCGCGAAAGCCAGGGGAGCAAACGGG